Molecule: transfer RNA, 72 nt
Filed under: Sus scrofa (pig)
Lineage: Eukaryota; Metazoa; Chordata; Mammalia; Artiodactyla; Suidae
Rfam family: tRNA
About the family: Transfer RNA (tRNA) molecules are approximately 80 nucleotides in length. Their secondary structure includes four short double-helical elements and three loops (D, anti-codon, and T loops).
Source: Rfam by way of RNAcentral
UCCCUGGUGGUCUAGUGGUUAGGACUUGGCAUAUUCACUGCUGAGGCAUGGGUUCAAUCCCUAGUCUGGGAA